RNAcentral lists this ribosomal RNA (336 nucleotides) under Oulema atrosuturalis. RNAcentral describes it as "partial 12S rRNA". The record is from RNAcentral. Lineage: Eukaryota; Metazoa; Arthropoda; Insecta; Coleoptera; Chrysomelidae.
AUUAGUAUUAGUUAUGAUCUUGAAAAUUAAAAGAUUUGGCGGUAUUUUAGACUUUUCAGAGGAACUUGUCCUGUAAUUGAUAAUCCACGAUUUGAUUUACUUUUUUUUUUAGUUUAUAUAUCGUUGUAAUUGAAAAUUUUAAAAAAAUUUUAAAUUUUCAGAAUUUUAAAUUAAAUAAUAUAUCAGAUCAAGAUGUAAUUGAUAAAAAAGUAGUGAUGAGUUACAAUAUUUUUAUUUUAGGAUAUUUAUUAUUAUAAUAAAUUGAAUUUGGAUUUGAAAGUAAUUUAAAUUAAUUUAUUUAAAUGAUUUAGCUCUAAAAUAUGUACACAUCGCCCG